GCCGCCCCGGCUGCCGCCUCCCCCCCCGCCGCCGCUGAAGGACGAGCCGCAGAUCGUGCCCGAGGUGCCGAGCUUCGGAGAGAGCCCUCCGCUGUCCCCCAUCGAUAUGGACACGCAGGAGCGCAUCAAAGCGGAGCGGAAACGGCUGAGGAACCGCAUCGCCGCCUCCAAGUGCCGCAAGAGGAAACUGGAGCGCAUCUCCCGCCUGGAGGAGAAGGGACAAUCCAUGGCCAGGAAUUAACAACAUCACAACCCCAGCCCAGCUCGUCCGUAGGUGUCACCACGUGGAUACCUGACGUGCUUUCACUCAGCUCAGGGGCAACUGAACCACAGAUAUUGGCACAGGACACAACUCCCAGCAAAGAGAGCCCAGCAGCACCUGCAUCUCCACCGCACACCACUGCAACACCAUCUUCACCUGCGGCCCCAAGCACUGCAGCAGCUGCACCUCCCUCCAGCCCUGCAGGAACACCAUCUCUGCCCAUGACAUCGGGCUCAGCUCCACUGACCACGGCCCCGUCCAACACCCCCGCCACAUCGGCCCCAUCCAGCCCGACCACGGUGCCCAACCACAUGUCGUCCUCAGGCACAGCGCCGGCCCCAUCCUCUCCUGGGCAGCCCACCCCCCCUCCCAGCCCUGCUGUGCCCACCGCCAGCCCCGCUCCUGGCACUGCCUCGGCUCUCAGCUCCAGCACUGCACAGCCGCUCGGGACCAGCAGCCUGGCACAGCCCUCCUCCAAAUCCAACCCCGGAGUGGUGGUGGUCGUCUGCCUCUUCGUGGCUGUGCUGGCUGGGGCCGUGGCCAUGCUGCUGGUGCGGCUGUGCCGCUGCAGGAAACCCCACUUCCAACGGCUGGACGAGGUGCCCAUGGGCAAAGUGUCAGAGGACUCCCCCUUUGCCCGUCACCCCCCCAGGUGACCCCGCUGUGCCGAAUAAAGACGCUGCAGCCCUGGCUUUGGUUUCCCA
RNAcentral lists this long non-coding RNA (966 nucleotides) under Chrysolophus pictus (golden pheasant). RNAcentral describes it as "lncRNA (ENSCPIG00010005744.1)". Lineage: Eukaryota; Metazoa; Chordata; Aves; Galliformes; Phasianidae. The record is from RNAcentral.